AUUGCUCACGUGUUGAGUUUGUUUGUGGCAUCUGUUUCCAUGUAUAGGUUAUAGAAAGUGACUCCAGGGAAGUGCCAACGUGUACGCUUAUCAGACUGUAUGACAUUUUAAUAAUAAAAAUGCAAAAAAGGAACGAUCCAUCGAUAGGGAAUCGGGAAAAACGCGGAAAGCGUCGCACCUGCGACGAACCCGUGGCCCGGCAACCUCCGCGGUCGAAGCUCGCAGCCCGACUGACUCCGGUACUCCAGAGCAGGACCAACUCCAAGGUGCGAUCAGCGACACUGAUUGACACUUAAUGUGGAUAUAAAUAAUACGCGAAUCAAGGGAUGAGACUAUUCUAUUUCGACAUUUCGUGUACGAUUACGGUAGGUACUCGGUUAACCCUUUCACCCCAGCAGGCUCACAAUGAGAUUUGAUCUCCAUGGAUGAAUCGGGUCACUUACGAAUAGAUA
Molecule: non-coding RNA, 452 nt
Organism: Nomia melanderi (Alkali bee)
Lineage: Eukaryota; Metazoa; Arthropoda; Insecta; Hymenoptera; Halictidae
Source: RefSeq, a predicted model, not a curated record